Molecule: ribosomal RNA, 561 nt
Filed under: uncultured archaeon
Lineage: Archaea
Description: bacterial SSU rRNA
Rfam family: Archaeal small subunit ribosomal RNA
Source: RNAcentral
CAGCAGGCGCGAAAACUUUACAAUGCUGGCAACAGCGAUAAGGGGACCUCGAGUGCCAGGAUACAAUCUUGGCUGUCGUGAUGCCUAAAAAGCAUUGCAUAGCAAGGGCCGGGCAAGACCGGUGCCAGCCGCCGCGGUAACACCGGCGGCUCGAGUGGUAACCGCUAUUAUUGGGUCUAAAGGGUCUGUAGCCGGCCGGAUAAGUCUCUUGGGAAAUCCGACAGCUCAACUGUCGGGCUUUCAGGGGAUACUGUUCGGCUCGAGGCCGGGAGAGGUGAGAGGUACUUCAGGGGUAGGGGUGAAAUCUUGUAAUCCUUGAAGGACCACCAGUGGCGAAGGCGUCUCACCAGAACGGUCCUGACGGCAAGGGACGAAAGCUAGGGGCACGAACCGGAUUAGAUACCCGGGUAGUCCUAGCCGUAAACGAUACUCGCUAGGUGUCGGCCACGGUGCGACCGUGGUCGGUGCCGUAGGGAAGCCGUGAAGCGAGCCACCUGGGAAGUACGGCCGCAAGGCUGAAACUUAAAGGAAUUGGCGGGGGAGCACAAGGGCAAUUCGCGG